AUGACAACCCUGCGCCAGAGCCAAACUGGCAGAAGCUUACUCUGGGCCUGCAGCAACAGCAAAGGUACAUCUGACACCAUACUUGUGUGGCACAUCGCCACGGCCAUCCUUGAGGUGAGGCACCCACACCAUCAAGGAGAUGGCCGGCCUUCUUCUGUUUCUGACAUGAUGUCGCGCUAUUGCGCGUAUCUGGUGGAGUCCUGCCCCGAGCUACUUCCUGAUGAUGAUGCAUGGAGCAAGUACCUCUACAACAAAGUCAAGAAGGACGCCAACCGAGCCCUCGCCACCGGCAGCAGCACACCAGUGUCGUCCAUGUCGUCAGAAGCGGGUUGCCGACAGCUGAUCGAGAUGUUGGGCGCUAGACAGAACCAUGAGGUGCUCAAGGAUGCCGCGAAGCUCGCGGAGCAGCUGGGGGAGGUGGCCGGAGGUGAGGAUGGCGUGGGAGUUGCUGGCCGGGUUUUGGUCAGAGAUGAUCCUUUACCUGGCUCCGUCGGACAACAUCAAAGGGCACCUGCAGGCCAUCGACCGGGGCGGCGAGCUGAUUACGCUCCUCUGGGCCUUGCUCGCCCACAUCGGGAUCAUCGACAGGCCUGGCGACACCGCUGCAAGUGCUCCAGCCACUGA
This 624-nucleotide ribosomal RNA is filed under the name Triticum aestivum (bread wheat). Its description in RNAcentral is "partial small subunit ribosomal RNA". Lineage: Eukaryota; Viridiplantae; Streptophyta; Magnoliopsida; Poales; Poaceae. The record is from RNAcentral.